AUUGAACGCUGGCGGCAUGCCUUACACAUGCAAGUCGAACGGCAGCACGGGAGCAAUCCUGGUGGCGAGUGGCGAACGGGUGAGUAAUAUAUCGGAACGUGCCCAGUCGUGGGGGAUAACGUAGCGAAAGCUACGCUAAUACCGCAUACGAUCUAUGGAUGAAAGCGGGGGAUCGCAAGACCUCGCGCGAUUGGAGCGGCCGAUAUCAGAUUAGGUAGUUGGUGAGGUAAAGGCUCACCAAGUCGACGAUCUGUGGCUGGUCUGAGAGGACGACCAGCCACACUGGGACUGAGACACGGCCCAGACUCCUACGGGAGGCAGCAGUGGGGGAAUUUUUGGGACAAUGGGCGCAAGCCUGAUCCAGCAAUGCCGCGUGAGUGAUGAAGGCC
RNAcentral lists this ribosomal RNA (389 nucleotides) under uncultured bacterium. Its description in RNAcentral is "bacterial SSU rRNA". It matches the Rfam family "Bacterial small subunit ribosomal RNA", at positions 30 to 416 of the family's 1533-position model. The record is from RNAcentral.